RNAcentral lists this long non-coding RNA (241 nucleotides) under Lathyrus oleraceus (garden pea). RNAcentral's name for it is "Pisum sativum (pea) long non-coding RNA (PSAT_LNC037046)". The record is from RNAcentral. Lineage: Eukaryota; Viridiplantae; Streptophyta; Magnoliopsida; Fabales; Fabaceae.
GUUCAGUCUAAAAGAAGUGACAUAAUUCUCUCCCUAAGACUUGAUCUUAAGAGUAUCCAGUAAUGCUUAUGAGCUUUUAGUACGUUAAGUUUAUGAACCCCCUUAUACAAGGAAAAUAAAGUUUCAGGUUAACCUCCAACCAAACAACGAUCAGCAGACUGAAGCAAUUUGUCUUCCUUCCAAACACAAACAAAACUUGAAGUACUAUGGCUAAAUUAUAGUAUGCAGAAAGUAGAAAAAU